Molecule: ribosomal RNA, 402 nt
Filed under: bacterium
Lineage: Bacteria
Description: partial 16S ribosomal RNA
Rfam family: Bacterial small subunit ribosomal RNA
Source: RNAcentral
UGGGGAAUUUUGCACAAUGGGGGAAACCCUGAUGCAGCGACGCCGCGUGAUUUAGAAGGCCUUCGGGUUGUAAAAAUCUUUUCUAUGGGAAGAAAAUGACAGUACCAUAGGAAUAAGGACCGGCUAAUUACGUGCCAGCAGCCGCGGUAAUACGUAAGGUCCGAGCGUUGUCCGGAAUCAUUGGGCGUAAAGGGUACGUAGGCGGGUAAGCAAGUUAGAAGUGAAAUCCUAUAGCUCAACUAUAGUAAGCUUUUAAAACUGCUCAUCUUGAGGUAUGGAAGGGAAAGUGGAAUUCCUAGUGUAGCGGUGAAAUGCGCAGAUAUUAGGAAGAAUACCGGUGGCGAAGGCGACUUUCUGGCCAUAACCUGACGCUGAGGUACGAAAGCGUGGGUAGCAAACAGG